RNAcentral lists this ribosomal RNA (228 nucleotides) under uncultured bacterium. RNAcentral describes it as "partial 16S ribosomal RNA". It matches the Rfam family "Bacterial small subunit ribosomal RNA", at positions 568 to 795 of the family's 1533-position model. The record is from RNAcentral.
UCCGUAGGCGGGCAAUUAAGUCAGAGGUGAAAUCCCACAGCUCAACUGUGGAACUGCCUUUGAUACUGGUUGUCUUGAGUUAUAGUGAAGUAGAUAGAAUAUGUAGUGUAGCGGUGAAAUGCAUAGAUAUUACAUAGAAUACCGAUUGCGAAGGCAGUCUACUAACUGUACACUGACGCUAAUGGACGAAAGCGUGGGGAGCGAACAGGAUUAGAUACCCUGGUAGUC